RNAcentral lists this ribosomal RNA (335 nucleotides) under uncultured bacterium. RNAcentral's name for it is "bacterial SSU rRNA". It matches the Rfam family "Bacterial small subunit ribosomal RNA", at positions 28 to 334 of the family's 1533-position model. The record is from RNAcentral.
GAUGAACGCUGGCGGCGUGCUUAACACAUGCAAGUCGAACGGGGCCACCAUUUUUGAAGCGAUUAGCUUGCUAAGAGUGGAAAUGUUGGCGGCUUAGUGGCGGACGGGUGAGUAACGCGUGGGUAACCUGCCAUAUACAGGGGGAUAACACUUAGAAAUAGGUGCUAAUACCGCAUAAGCGCACGGAGCUGCAUGGCUCAGUGUGAAAAACUCCGGUGGUAUAUGAUGGACCCGCGUCUGAGUAGCUUGUUGGCGGGGUAACGGCCCACCAAGGCGACGAUCAGUAGCCGGCCUGAGAGGGUGGACGGCCACAUUGGGACUGAGACACGGCCCAA